GUGUUGUAUGACAGGAGAGAAGGUUAGCACUCCCCUUGACAAGGAUAGAAAAAGCCCUAGUCUACUGGCAUUCAACACACAUAUGGUUAAGGCACAUCGUGGAUUCUUGAAUGUGGUCCAUUCUGGCUU
This 129-nucleotide non-coding RNA is filed under the name Oncorhynchus mykiss (rainbow trout). The record is from RNAcentral. Lineage: Eukaryota; Metazoa; Chordata; Actinopteri; Salmoniformes; Salmonidae.